CACAGACCACCUUCUCUCCCUACUUGUAAAAUACUCUCCUUAAAUAAAAGUUUGCCGUUUAUUAGCUCCAUCUCUGCUGAGCACAACCAUUGUAUAUUAGCUGGGAUGAAGAGAGUUCACAAUAAUGAAGAAGAGGAUGACGACGACGAUGAUGAUGGAACCCGUUCUCAACAUAAAUCCUCUUCAUGAAUUUAUCAGAAUUGAAUCAAUAAGGCAUCAAGUUCAGUUUGAUCCAGGUUUGUGUCCGAGAGCUCGCGACUGGUCCCGUGGCUAGCAUCAGAGCUUUUGGGUGAGCUACUAGCAGGACCCGCAGCCUCGGAUCUCUUCUUAUGUAUUUUGUUUGUUUCUUUUCUACAGACAGUAUCUAUAUCAAUAUUGAGGCUGUAUUUCAUUUUCAAAUAAUGUAUUCCAUUUAGAAGCUCUUGUACAAGUUAAGACCAGGUUUUGGAAAUUUUAAAGAUUAAGUUAUUCUUCUGCAUUUAUUUUUAUUACUUAAAACUGUUAU
This is a long non-coding RNA of Lycium barbarum (goji berry), 505 nucleotides long. RefSeq lists it as uncharacterized. NCBI's taxonomy places the organism in Eukaryota, Viridiplantae, Streptophyta, Magnoliopsida, Solanales, Solanaceae. The transcript is spliced from 3 exons. The record is from RefSeq and is a predicted model, not a curated record.